Molecule: long non-coding RNA, 4554 nt
Filed under: Bemisia tabaci
Lineage: Eukaryota; Metazoa; Arthropoda; Insecta; Hemiptera; Aleyrodidae
Description: lncRNA ENSSSA1NGG002088
Source: RNAcentral
UUACAUGACCUAUAAUAUACCUACAUGAUUUAAAACUAAAUUACAUACUUUCAUCAUAUUUACAGAGUAACGUUAGAUAGUAAAAUCAUUAUCUAAAAAACUGGAAUUAUAAAAUUCUCUGUCUUUUCUUUUUAUCAGAAAUAUUAAAACAGAUAAGUUUUUAGUUUAAUAACUUAACAUUCUUUCUUUCGCACUGGAAUAUAUUUCUCUCUAUAUGCAUCACGUUUUACAGUCGAAGGCAGAGGUGGUUAUUUGGUGAGCUGGCUAGAUCAACCAAAUUUCAAGGUAAAUGUCAACAUUCGGAGCAUCAAUUUUCAUGGUUUGAGUCCUUUUAGCACUCCGCGUUCACCAGAGGGAUGUAUCAGAUUUGUGUAUACACCGAUGAUUGAAGUCGGAUAUGUUAUCUUUCAGCUCUUCCAGAUAAAACUGAGAUCAUCCCUUGACAUCCGCCUAAAAACGAGCAGCAAACCGUUAUCACUUUGGUACAUACGAGCAGAUCGGCAGUUCAAAGGAGGAAAAUCGUUCUCAGCUGCGGUUACCAUCGAUGUUACACAGCCAUUCAGGCUUGAGUUCCAGACAGACUACUUCGCCUGCUUCGACCGUGAAGCAAAGCCCGCUGUGAUAAUCGACGAUUUGAAAGUGAGUUACACGCCGUGUAAUUUAAAACGCACUGCGUCCUCGCCGCGAUCGAAUGGUCGUGGUCAGUCAAACAAAUCUAAAGGCAAAAAGUCGUGGUUCCAGCAGUUAAGCUUCGGCCAGUCUCUGAAGAACUAUUUAAGAUCUCCCUCGACAUCAUCCUCGCCAAGAUCGCCUUCAGGUUCACCUUCAGGGUCAUUCUCCCGAUCGGAUUCAUACAUCAAUGAGUGAAUAAAUAUAAGUAAAGGAACUCUUUAAAGGCAUUCAUUCUUUAAAAUUGUACAUACCCAUUUGAGUAUUUCUGAGACAGCUAAUGGAGAACUUGCAGGCACAUGUUUUUAUUGCUGCGUCUGAGCGUGCUUACAGAGCUAAUUCCUGAUAGAGGAGAUAGGAAGGGGAAUGGGGAGGAUAAGGAGAUAAGAAGGGAUAGGGGAGAUGGGGGGAUAGGAGGGAUAGGAGGGGAUAGGAGAUAGGAGGAGGAAGGGGAUUGGAUGUAUUUCUGCUAAAAGGAACUAGAGAGGAGACGGUUGGGAAAUAAGUGGUGUGCUGUGAAAAGCUGCUUAAGAAUCAAUGUAAAAGUGGGCGUGGUUCCUUUUGUGGAAAUGGUAAAAGUGGGAUUUUACAUUAAAUCCAUCGGAUCCAAGCGCCAAAAUAUGCGGCUUUUAUGAACCGGGGGCUUAUUCCGACAGCGUUGUGGAGAGUUAAUGAGUUAAGGAGCCCAGUCACCGAACCGGGCGGUCCUUUCGUCGCCGCUGACGCCACUGGCGCUUUAUAACUCCUAUGCAAUCUCACGGCGCAAGAACUAACAAGCACACUCCUUUUUCCCCCACCCGUACCUGGUUCCUUAGCAGAUGAACGUCCAAAUAUAGAUUUGAAAGUGAGAAAAUGAAAUGGUGACGUCAUCUGGCGGUAUUUCCCAUUUAAACACAUGUAUUUCAGCGGAUCAAAUCAUUUUGUCAUAACUCCUCCAAUAUCAAAUUGUUUGAUUUAUGAACCAAGGGUAUCUUCGUGUUUAGUUCUCUCCGCACUUAUAAAAUACGAAAUUCAUCAAUUCUCAGACACCUGCAAACUCUCCAUUCAUCUUUUUCCUCACGUAAGAACUAACAACAUUUCAAUGCUCCAAAAUCACAUAUUGAAUCAAGAGAAACUUAGGAAUUUUGGACUGAAAAUUUCACUGAUUUUUCUUCUGAUCUUGUUCAAAAUUCAGAAUAUUAUUUGACGUAAAUUCUUCAAGCUUAUUCUUGUAAAAUAUUGAAUCGUUUGAAUCAAGUUUGAAUUCAAGUCCUUCGUCCAGGAUAAAAACGUCCUUCGUACAAAUUAAGUUCAAAACCAAGCAAAUGCAAGAGGAAAAUUUUAUAUUUUAAAUGUAUCAAGAGGCUCCUUUUAAAAAUGUCAAAGCUGCCUGCGCAUGCUUAACAACACGGAUAAAACACCCUGACGCGAAGAAAUUUAGAUACAUUUUUCAUUUCAGGAUAAUACAGAUGAUUUAUGAGAAUCUGCAACUUGAAUAAAUUUAGCAAAUCAUUCUCCUUCAAUUUUACAGCAUUGACGUGGAUGUGCUAAUUGAAUAACUCAUUUCUAAUCUCAUUAGAAGAAUAAUGGACUUCGUCCAAUUCGAUGUUUUAUACUUUUCAAAUAAUUUACGAUAGUGCGAUCUAUCUGGAUUAUUUAAUUUUUCUUUACGAAGCAUUCUCAUUUGUUAUUGAUCAGUAGAUACAUCGUGCAUAUGUAUAUGUAGGAGACAGUAUUGCACUUUUAAUGAUUCGAUAUCACAUUUUACAUAUCUACUUUUUUAAGAAAGUAACAAAGCUUGAAUGGGUCUGUAGGUAUUUUAUUUUGUUUUUAAGAGAAUAUUUGCAUUUUUCUUCUAUUUUUACUUUUUUCAUUCUUUAAUUGAUAUUUCUUUGUCUUUAUCUUUCCUAAUAGCGACAAUAAUUAUAACCUAUUAUAAUAAAUGUUGGUGUGAGUUUUAGUUCGUUUUUAUCAUGGUUCAUCAAGCUUUUGACACAAAGAGACUGUCCUAUUUCCUAUGGAAAAUGGGACAGCCUCUUUGGCAAAACUCUUUAUCUCCAUUAAAUUUGAGAGUCGUCUCGUUGGAUUUUUGUUGUUGAUACCAGGUUAUAUCCUGGGAAUGAAGGAAUUUUAAAAAAAAAAAAAAAAAAAAAAAAAAAAAAAAAACUUUUACAUCCACACACUUUUUAUGGCGAAGGCUCAAACACUGUCUUGAAACCAGGAAUUAGGUCGUCUAGUUAAAAAAUGGUCAUUAUUAUGAUAAAAAUAAAUAAAACGAUAAUCCGGCACGACUCAAACACAAGUACAUGAUCCUAUGCUACUGUCUACAGGGAUAAAUACGACUUGCACAUUACAAAUUGCUCAUGUGUUAUCAAUGCUCUAACCUCCAAUUGUCAAGUAUCGAAACAAACUUACAACUUGUGUAAAAUUAUUUUAUUGUAACAAAACAUUGGCAUAAAGUUACUCUCCGAAUUUAGUAUGAACCAUACAUUCAACAUUAAAAAGUCGGGGAUAAUACUUGGCAUAAGCAACACACGGAGAGCGUCGAAGAUGGAAAAAAAUCAACUGGAAAACAAACUUAUCUAGUUCCACAAUAUUCGAUAGAAAUAAUAGACGGUACGUCGGCAGAUAUCGUCCAGUUAAAAUUCACCUUCAAUUUCGGCACUUAAGUAACGACCUAUAGUCCCGCCUCUGAAUUUUAAUCGAGGGUGCAAAAAGUGUCCUUUUUAAGGUGAUGUGUUAAAUAUCUCCUUGAACCUUCCGUAAUCAUAAUUUAAAAAAUGGCGUCCCCUAAGGAGAGGACCUGUUUAACGAAGGGCAGUAAAUGCUAUAACUAUACUGUCUAAUAUAUAGCUGACUACAUAGCCUAUAUAGCUGCUACAUAUAAUAUGCGACUAUAAUUGAGGAGUUUGGAGGACAAAGUGCAAGUGCUGUUUUUGCUAUUUCUAGAAAGACGUGUUUAAAGUUUCAAAACUACAUGGAGUCUUAUGGCGAAAAGGAAGUUUAAACUCACUUUUUGAUUUUUUAAAGUUGGAUUUUACUCGUGAAUUUUCCACAAUAAACUUUCAAACAAGUUUUGGUCGAGUUCAUGAGUAUCUCAAUUUUUUCAAAAACUGCACUUAUGCGCCUAGUCCUCCAAGCCCGUUAAUUCUUCUUAGCGGUUGCUUUAUUAUACAAAUAAUAUUUAAUUUCUCUUAUUUUUUCCGUGUCGUUUCCUUUUCUUGCCAUCCCCUCCAUUCUUUCUCUUGCUCCCUGGUCCCCAAUCGAUGCGUGGCGGAGGUCCUGAUGGGUUUAAGACUUGACGCUCCGAUGCUGGUGGCGCGUCUUUGCAUUCCAGAGUCUCCACGUUGAAGUUCUCGUCCGGACAAGUCGAAGGGUUAUCAGCACCCUAAAAUCACAAAAGCAACGAGAGGAAUGAUUAGACAGGGUUUUAAAGACGAUAUGGCGUUUAUAAUACCAACAAUUAGUCAAGAAAACCUGAACCAAAAUAGGAGUACCGCUGAAAAAUGUCUCCCGCGCAAUUUGAAUGACACUUUAUACCUAUGUAUGCGAUUUUUUACGUAGAAUCCGAAUUUCAACUUUCCCAAUAAAAAAACCCCUGGAUCAUCCACCAUAUUGGGGGGGAGAAGUUUCCAAAUCUCAAGAUAUCGUCUCUUCCCGGCCGAAGUAUCACAAGCGCCAUGCGACGUUUAAAAAUUUCCGCCGUUAUUUUAUUUUUUUACAGAGAAAUCGUUCAAUGAAGGUUUGAACAUUUCAGUGAAUUUUCUUUGCGCUGCCGAUAAAAUUCAGUGAAAUUUUCAGACGGAUUCAACCAACAGUUUCUCUGUAAAAAAAUGAAAAGACUUGGGGCUUGUGAAACAUUGGCCGGAGGGUGACUGUAUUUCGAGAAAGAAAUAAGGGCAUAAG